GCCAAGACUAGCCCCAAGCAUAACCAACACUAAUACCAAACCAACAGAUACCAAACCAUUCACCUACACAAAGUAUAGGCGAUAGAAAUUUUAACCUGGCGCUAUAGAUGUAGUACCGUAAGGGAAAGAUAGAAAACCACCCAAGCACAAAACAGCAAGGACUAACCCCUAUACCUUUUGCAUAAUGAAUUAGCUAGAGACAAUUUCACAAAGAGAACUACAAGCCAAAUCCCCCGAAACCAGACGAGCUACCCAAAAACAGCUAAAAGAGCGCACCCAUCUAUGUGGCAAAAUAGUGGGAAGAUUUCUGGGUAGAGGUGAUAAGCCUACCGAGCCUGGUGAUAGCUGGUUAUCCAAGACAGAAUCUUAGUUCUACCUUAAGCUUACCUACAGAACUACUAAUCCUCCUGUAAGCUUAAUUGCUAGUCUAAAGAGGGACAGCUCUUUAGACACUAGGAAAAAACCUUACAGAGAGAGUAAAAACCCCAAUUACCAUAGUUGGCUUAAAAGCAGCCAUCAAUUAAGAAAGCGUUCAAGCUCAACACCAACCACCUUAAAAAUACCAAACAUAUAACUGAACUCCUCUCACCACAUUGGACUAAUCUAUUAUCCUAUAGAAGCAAUAAUGCUAGUAUAAGUAACAUGAAUAUUUUCUCCACCGCAUAAGCCUAAAUCGGACCGAAAGCCUCACCGAUACCUAACAGCCAGGUAUAACAAGCACAAACAAGCCAACACCACCUUCACUGUUAAUCCAACACAGGCAUGCCUCAAGGAAAGGUUAAAAAAAGUAAAAGGAACUCGGCAAACUCAAACCCCGCCUGUUUACCAAAAACAUCACCUCUAGCAUUACUAGUAUUAGAGGCACUGCCUGCCCGGUGACACACGUUUAACGGCCGCGGUACCCUGAC
This 908-nucleotide ribosomal RNA is filed under the name Macaca sylvanus (Barbary ape). RNAcentral's name for it is "partial 16S ribosomal RNA". The stretch from base 154 to 908 matches the Rfam family "Bacterial large subunit ribosomal RNA", at positions 569 to 1898 of the family's 2925-position model. The record is from RNAcentral. Lineage: Eukaryota; Metazoa; Chordata; Mammalia; Primates; Cercopithecidae.